This 492-nucleotide ribosomal RNA is filed under the name uncultured bacterium. Its description in RNAcentral is "partial 16S ribosomal RNA". It matches the Rfam family "Bacterial small subunit ribosomal RNA", at positions 29 to 507 of the family's 1533-position model. The record is from RNAcentral.
AGUGAACGCUGGCGGUAGGCCUAACACAUGCAAGUCGAACGGCAGCACAGUAAGAGCUUGCUCUUACGGGUGGCGAGUGGCGGACGGGUGAGGAAUACAUCGGAAUCUACUUUUUCGUGGGGGAUAACGUAGGGAAACUUACGCUAAUACCGCAUACGACCUACGGGUGAAAGCAGGGGAUCUUCGGACCUUGCGCGAUUGAAUGAGCCGAUGUCGGAUUAGCUAGUUGGCGGGGUAAAGGCCCACCAAGGCGACGAUCCGUAGCUGGUCUGAGAGGAUGAUCAGCCACACUGGAACUGAAACACGGUCCAGACUCCUACGGGAGGCCACAGUGGGGAAUAUUGGGCAAUGGGCGCAAGCCUGAUCCAGCCAUACCGCGUGGGUGGAGAAGGCCUUCGGGUUGGAAAGCCCUUUUGUUGGGAAAGAAAAGCAGCAGGUUAAUACCCCGCUGUUCUGACGGUACCCAAAGAAUAAGCACCGGCUAACUUCGUG